RNAcentral lists this transfer RNA (87 nucleotides) under Polyangium fumosum. RNAcentral describes it as "tRNA-Ser". It matches the Rfam family "tRNA". Rfam says of the family: Transfer RNA (tRNA) molecules are approximately 80 nucleotides in length. Their secondary structure includes four short double-helical elements and three loops (D, anti-codon, and T loops). Further hydrogen bonds mediate the characteristic L-shaped molecular structure. tRNAs have two regions of fundamental functional importance: the anti-codon, which is responsible for specific mRNA codon recognition, and the 3' end, to which the tRNAs corresponding amino acid is attached (by aminoacyl-tRNA synthetases). tRNAs cope with the degeneracy of the genetic code in two manners: having more than one tRNA (with a specific anti-codon) for a particular amino acid; and 'wobble' base-pairing, i.e. permitting non-standard base-pairing at the 3rd anti-codon position. The record is from RNAcentral. RNAcentral also lists the same sequence under 9 other names. Lineage: Bacteria; Pseudomonadati; Myxococcota; Polyangiales; Polyangiaceae.
GGAGGAGUGGCCGAGUGGUCGAAGGCAGCGGUUUUGAAAACCGCCGUACCCGGAAGGGUACCAGGGGUUCGAAUCCCUUCUCCUCCG